UACAGAGGUCUCAAGCGUUGUUCGGAUUCAUUGGGCGUAAAGAGCUCGUAGGCGGUUCGGUAAGUCAGGUGUGAAAUCUCCACGCUCAACGUGGAGGGGCCACCUGAUACUGCCGUGACUCGAGUCCGGUAGGGGAGUGUGGAAUUCCCGGUGUAGCGAUGAAAUGCGCAGAUAUCGGGAGGAACACCAGUAGCGAAGGCGGCACUCUGGGCCGGAACUGACGCUGAGGAGCGAAAGCGUGGGUAGCAAACAGG
This 254-nucleotide ribosomal RNA is filed under the name uncultured bacterium. RNAcentral describes it as "partial 16S ribosomal RNA". It matches the Rfam family "Bacterial small subunit ribosomal RNA", at positions 524 to 776 of the family's 1533-position model. The record is from RNAcentral.